This 823-nucleotide long non-coding RNA is filed under the name Parus major (Great Tit). RNAcentral's name for it is "lncRNA (ENSPMJG00000002354.1)". Lineage: Eukaryota; Metazoa; Chordata; Aves; Passeriformes; Paridae. The record is from RNAcentral.
CAGGUACCCCCAGGUACCCCCAGGUGUGUCCCAGGUACCCCCAGGUGUCCCCAGGUGUGUCCCAGGUGUGUCCAGGUGUGUCUCAGGUACCCCCAGGUGUCCCCAGGUGUGUCCCAGGUACCCCCAGGUGUCCCCAGGUGUCCCCAGGUGUGUCCAGGUGUGUCCCAGGUGUCCCCAGGUGUGUCCCAGGUGUCCUCAGGUAUCCUCAGGUGUGUCCCAGGUGUGUCCAGGUGUGUCUCAGGUACCCUCAGGUGUCCCCAGGUGUGUCCCAGGUACCCCCAGGUGUGUCUAGGUGUGUCCAAGCGUCCCCAGGUGUGUCCCAGGUGUCCUCAGGUGUGUCCCAGGUGUGUCCAGGUGUGUCCAGGUGUGUCUCAGGUACCCCCAGGUGUCCCCAGGUGUGCCCCAGGUGUGUCCCAGGUGUCCCCAGGUGUGUCCCAGGUACCCCCAGGUCUGUCCAGGUGUGUCCCACAUGUACCCCAGGUACCCCCAGGUGUGUCCAGGUGUCCCCAGGUGUCCCCAGGUGUCCCCAGGUGUAUCUCAGGUGUAUCCCAGGUGUAUCUCAGGUGUCCCCAGGUGUGUCCAGGUGUGUCCCAGGUGUCCCCAGGUGUCCCCAGGUGUGUCCCAGGUGUGUCUCAGGUGUCCCCAGGUGUCCCCAGGUGACCCCAGGUGUAUCUCAGCUGUCCCCAGGUGUCCCCAGGUGACCCCAGGUGUAUCCCAGGUGUGCCCAGGUGUGUCCCCAGGUGCACUCACCUGUCCCAGCAGCUCCUGCAGUCUCCUCCUGAGCGCUCCGUUGUCCCUGCGCAGCCGCUCGUUCUCGGCCAGC